AUAUUGGACAAUGGGCGCAAGCCUGAUCCAGCCAUGCCGCGUGUGUGAAGAAGGCCUUCGGGUUGUAAAGCACUUUUGUUGGGGAAGAAAAGCUUGAGGUUAAUACCCUUGAGUUCUGACGGUACCCAAAGAAUAAGCACCGGCUAACUUCGUGCCAGCAGCCGCGGUAAUACGAAGGGUGCAAGCGUUACUCGGAAUUACUGGGCGUAAAGCGUGCGUAGGUGGUUCGUUAAGGCUGUCGUGAAAGCCCCGGGCUCAACCUGGGAAUGGCGAUGGAUACUGGCGGGCUAGAGUGCGGUAGAGGAGAGUGGAAUUCCCGGUGUAGCAGUGAAAUGCGUAGAGAUCGGGAGGAACAUCAGUUGCGAAGGCGGCUCUCUGGACCAGCACUGACACUGAGGCACGAAAGCGUGGGGAGCAAACAGG
This 423-nucleotide ribosomal RNA is filed under the name uncultured bacterium. Its description in RNAcentral is "bacterial SSU rRNA". It matches the Rfam family "Bacterial small subunit ribosomal RNA", at positions 361 to 776 of the family's 1533-position model. The record is from RNAcentral.